This 1407-nucleotide long non-coding RNA is filed under the name Nicotiana benthamiana. RNAcentral describes it as "long non-coding RNA (NBEN_LNC010026)". Lineage: Eukaryota; Viridiplantae; Streptophyta; Magnoliopsida; Solanales; Solanaceae. The record is from RNAcentral.
UUAAAUACUUGGAUGCAGUUUGGUCUUUCUAUGCAGUUAUAGAAACAUCAUGUACUAAUAUAGCAGAUGUUCCACAGCAUGUUCCUAGUCAUUCUAAUGCAUGACUUUUUUGCAAAAGGAUUCAGAAAAGGAUUGUUGUUUGCCGCUUUGUUUUAUGGAAGUAACGUGUAGUUUUCUUUGGUCUGGGAUGGGUGAUAUCUAGCUGCUUAGUCCAGUAUUAUGUGAUGUCCGCUUGUCUUGAAACUCUCCGAUUUGACGUACUUUUCCUACCAGAGCUUUUUGAAGUUCUUGGGCACUUCUAUCUGGCUGACGAUUCAUUUUCCCUUGUCUAUCUAUGGACAACCCAGUAUAAUCCCACAUAGUGGGGUCUGGGGAGGGUAGUAUGUACGCAGACCUUACCUNNNNNNNNNNNNNNNNNNNNNNNNNNNNNNNNNNNNNNNNNNNNNNNNNNNNNNNAGGGUCUGAAGAGGGUAGUGUGUACGCAGACCUUACCCCUACCCUUGGGUAGAGAGGCUGUUUCCAAAUAGACCCCCGGCAUCCUUCCCUCCAAGAACUGCCCACCUUGCUCUUGGGGAGACUCGAACUCACAACCUCUCAGUUGAAAGUGGGUGUUGCUUACUAUCAGAGCAACCCCUCUUGUCCCCCUGUCCAUCUAUCUGAUGAUAAAAUAUCCAGCUUUAUAUUGUGCAUUAUCUUAUUUUAGAUUUCCUUAUAUUUCACCAAUCAUAACGAGUAUAACAAGAUUUUGCAUAAUCUGGCCCUGUUCCCCCUGGGCUAUAUGGUAAGCGUGAACCCAUGCUAUUGGCGAAAAUCCUGAAAACGUAUAUACAUAUUAUGUUUAAAAUGGCUAUAUAUCAUACUGCGAACCCAUGUACAUGGCGAAUUAAAUGGUGCAUUGAUUAGCUUAGGUCGUUGAAGACUUUGUCACUCAUACAAUUGCUGUUAAGAAUCUCUUUUUGAAAAUCAUCCAUCAUAUUUUACAUCUGUGACCCCUUCUUUAUCUCCUUUUCUUUUGUUUCUUUCUGAAAAAGCUAAACUCAUUUGUUACUUUCUUUAAAGAAGCUUAAUUCUCAUCAAAUAAUUUUGAUAGACGCGCAUACAUGUCUUUUUUACAUUUUUGUUUCCUAAUUUUGCUUCUAAUUUUACUUAAUCGAUUGAAUCAAAAGAAAAAUCAAACCAUAUCUAGGAGCGAUUAUCAGUUUGUUUAUGAACCAACAACUUAGUAGCCCAAACCGAUCUCAAAAUCGACCGAACUAACUGCAUUUACGCUCAUAUAUUUGUGGCUUGUAGCAUGUCUAUAUUAAAGAAAAGAUGAUGGCGCACCCAUGGAUCUGCCUCAGUCUGUCAAGGCUCUUAUAUCUCAUUGCUUUUGUUGAUCUUAUUACUUUAGUAUAAGUUCAUCUUACU